This is a long non-coding RNA of Gadus macrocephalus (Pacific cod), 1236 nucleotides long. RefSeq lists it as uncharacterized. The record is from RefSeq and is a predicted model, not a curated record. The transcript has 2 exons. NCBI's taxonomy places the organism in Eukaryota, Metazoa, Chordata, Actinopteri, Gadiformes, Gadidae.
UCGUUAUGUCACCGGCGAGGUCAUUACAAUAUGUUCAAUAAAACGUAAUCACGGACAAAAUACGUUUUUUAGACAAACGUAAUUGAGAAUGCCGAAUAGUUCUCUGGGAACGUAAUUUUGAUGAGAAAGGGUUGCACUGUUUGGACCAGAAUAGUGCAGUGGUGUUUCACGGUUUUCUGUUUCCUGUUUCUUAUUGUGUACUGUCACCCAUGUAUCAUCUAACACACUCCCUUCAUUUAAACAGGCCCUCAAAACCCACCUUUUCAAGAUCGCUUUCAACACAUAACCUCCUUCCCUUCUCUACCCUCCCUCCUUUUAACGAGUCUUUUAUACCUAUUUCAGUUUUUUAGAUAACUAUUUUCACCCUAUUUUAUCUUCUUACUUAUAUAUGAUAUUAUUAAAUGUUUUUAUUCUGUGUUCACUCUGUUAAGCGACUGAGUAUUUAGAAAAGCGCUAUAUAAGCUGAAUUUAUUAUUAUUAUUAUGUAAGAAUAUGCAUUUAAAAUAAUAAAAAUCUCAAAGGUAACAUUAGCUGGUUGUCCAUCAAUGGAGUUGGACUCAUAAGGUGAAUUAUGUUGUGAAUACUUCAUGGGAGCGUAUCUUCUUAAUCUUUGAGUCAGCGAGCAAAACACAUUUCCUUUCCUAAUAAACCCCCUAAAUCCCAGAAAAGCUCAAAUCUGCAGACAAACAUAAGGAAAAAGCUUUGCACCAUAUCAACUGAUUGAUUGCCUUUGUAGUUCUGAAAGAGUUAGGUAGGUUUACUGUAGUUCUAAAUAUUUUUAUUGUAGUUCUGAAGGAACAACAUUUUGUGAUUUUGAAUGAGUUUAUUGUGAAUCAGAAGUAGUUUAUUGUAAUUCUGAAAUAUUUUUAUUGUAGUUCUGAAGGAGCACCUUGGCCUAUUGAUGAUAGUAGGUGUUUCUUUUUUAUUAACACCAGGGUUGUUCAGGAAAUGGCUGCCCAUGAUAAUUAUACAACCAACCUGUCACAGUUUCAACGGUUGUUUGUCUUUGUGUCGUUUUAGUUUCUUCCUCCAGAUGUCCUCAGUUAUUCUUUUCCUUCCCAUCAUUAUCUAGAUUUACUUCCUCCUGGUUUGAUUUGUUGAUUUGUUAAUUGUGUCCUCAUGUGUUGUUAAGCCCUCCGUUUGUUAUCCGUUUGUCUGAAGGUCCUGUCCUGUAGCUGAGUAAGUCUAGCAAGUGUCCUAGUUAAUGAUUAAACUUUUGUUUGCUGGCAAUCAUUA